Molecule: ribosomal RNA, 301 nt
Filed under: uncultured bacterium
Lineage: Bacteria
Description: partial 16S ribosomal RNA
Rfam family: Bacterial small subunit ribosomal RNA
Source: RNAcentral
CAGCCGCCGCGGUAAUACGAAGGGGGCUAGCGUUGUUCGGAUUUACUGGGCGUAAAGCGCACGUAGGCGGAUCGAUCAGUUAGGGGUGAAAUCCCAGAGCUCAACUCUGGAACUGCCUUUGAUACUGUCGAUCUGGAGUAUGGAAGAGGUGAGUGGAAUUCCGAGUGUAGAGGUAAAAUUCGUAGAUAUUCGGAGGAACACCAGUGGCGAAGGCGGCUCACUGGUCCAUUACUGACGCUGAGGUGCGAAAGCGUGGGGAGCAAACAGGAUUAGAUACCCGUGUAGUCCCUGUCUCUUAUAC